GGCACCUGCCCUUCCCGGCUCGCUCGCCUCAGCCUCUUGAUGAUAUUUUUCAUCCCUCGCCCCCCCUCUUCUUCUCUCCGCCGAUUCACACAAACAUUUUAUACAGGGAAGGGGGAAUUUCCCAGUCUUUUGCUGCUUUCCCCCCCCCUCUUUCCUGGGUUUGCCCCUCUCCCCCUUGCUCCUUUCCCUUUCUGUUUCUCUGCCCCUCGCCCCCCCACCGCCGCUUGUUUGUCCCAAUGCCCGGCCGAUGAUCGCGGUGUAUGAAGUUCUAACUGGUUUGUGUCAGGCAGCGCUCUCUAAGCAGUCUGGCGUGACGGAUUAAACAUCAACUAGUUAAAUAAAAAUUAAUAUCAACUGCCUCCUAACUUCUAAUGUCAUGUUGUUUAUAACUAAUGAACUGAUUAGGGGAUAAACACAUCAGGAAGACAUUUCUGCUUCCCUGCUCUUUCGAGAGAGAUUUGCAGAAUUCAAAGUAAAUCUCCCAGAGUCCUUUCUGGGUUUCUCCCGCACCAGGCUGGGGAGGGAGGACGGGGAUUCCGUGGGGUUUGUUGGGGUAAGGUCGGGGGAAUCCGGUGCAUCUGUCAGGGUUAGCUGGACUUAUUUAAACAUCUCACCGAGGAAGCAUUUCAGCGCGGCUGCGAGCAGGGCUCGGGCUGCAGGAGAUCUCGAAAGUCAGCGGGGGAAAGCAAGACACCCAAGCGRGGAGGAGAGAAACGAAGAAAAGGCCGCGGCGGAUCUACUGGCUCGCAGCCGUCCCGGGGAGACGGGCCAUUAGGCAGAGGAGCCAUGGCUCAGAGCUCAGGGAGAGCAGGAUACAGAGGUUUAAAAUACAAAGCUCACCGAGUGCCAGCACAGAGCCGUGCUGUGGCCCCGGCCGCCAGGCGUUUGCUGCAGGGGAGGYUUGGAAAAGAAAAGCUGCGGCGGGCGCUGGGAAGCGAGGCUGGGAACYGGAGCGAAUAGCGCUGCUUUUCCUUUGUCAUUUCUGCUGGASUCGCAGGGUGAAAUAUCCCCCACCUAGAGAGGGUUUCAAGUGCACAAAAACAGAGAGACACGUACGGGAGGCAAAUAAAAAUAUUCGCCCUUCAGAAAAGCACAUCUCUCCUGUCGAUAGUUUCCCCGUGUAUAAAUGUGUGCGCACCACCUCUGUAAAUCUCAAUAUUAAACACGUUGUGUGGGAAUGUAUAUAUAUGCAUAUACACGUGCAAGCUUAUGUUUUCAUAAUCGAACCAAUUAAAUCUAUUAUAUAUGCUGUAUGCUACAUAUAAAUAUGACAAAGAUYCACUAAAACGUAAAAGAAAAUUACAAAGGCAACGAAAAAGGCCUCCUAAACGAAAAGGCCACAGAGGCAGGUUUUUGCUAUUCUGCACCGAAAAUCUUCUAAGUCAAAACCGAAAAAAAAAAUCCUUCAGAAAGUUUGCAAACCCCUCUGUUCCUUUUCCCUUCUGUGUUUUUAAAGGAUCUGCCGAAGUCCCUUUGCAUCUGAGGUUUAAAUAGGGAGAUCAAUAGAAAACAGUUGUAAUGAUCUAAUUAAUUAUGGCAAAAUUAAAAGCGAGUAGAAAAUCAAUCUCUGAUGGUGUUGAAGAUGGAAUUAAAUUGAUAGUCCAUCUGUUCACCUCCUAGACCGUAUAAAUAUGCAACCCAAGGACGGAGCUAAUGGGAUCGAGCUGCCUGGGAGACUCUCUCAUUCYCUCUCUCUUGUUUUUUACUCCAUUCCUUGCCCAAGUUGAGCCCCGUAGCCCCCGUGUUCCCGCUGUUCCCCCUCUCGCUGGAGACACGCAAAACGCUGCUYGUGUCGGGCAACUCAAACCGGCGGCAGCAGCAGCAAACCUGAGGCUACAAAGCCCUGUGGUUGGGAGGGAGAAAAAAGGCAAGCUGAGGAGGACAGCGUUCAGUGAGUGUGUGCUCCCUUAACGGGCUGUUUUUAAAUCGAACGGACAAGAUGAUGAUGACGGUGACAACGGAGUAGUUUGAGGAUGUUCUCCUCCUUCUAAGCGGCUUUUUUACAUWGGUCGUGGGUUCGGGAAAGUCAGCCCUUUCUGUAGCCGGAUUUCUAUGAAAUACUSUGUGUGUUCUGUCAGGGAGAGGCGACACAUUGAAUUAGUUUUGUUUAUCCGGUUUUCCUGACUGUGAAGCUCUAAGGGCAGAGACCCAACGGGAGGCCGGCGGUGCCGCCCUGUCCCGGCGCUGUCCCCAUUCCCCACCCCUGCCCUGUCCCCGCCGGGCCAACUUUCCCCAAGUGUGGCAUCCUGGGGCUGCCACCCGCCUGCCCAGCACGGUGACACUCUGCUGAACGACCAGCGCCACUUGAAAAUAAAGGAGAAUCGGUGUAAUUGCUAAAUUACAUUACUGAGUAAUGUAAGAGGCAUUGCUGUAUUUUCCCUUAAAAAAAAAAUAGUAAUAAAUCCCCUCUUUCCCCUCUUUCCGCGGUAAUUUGUAGGUGCAGAGCUAACAGCAGGGAGAGCUAGGGCGAGCUGUCAGCCUUGGAGGAGUUCCCCGCCAUCCCGGCCGCUUUUUAAUUGUGAAAAAUUAAAGCUAGGUGCUGCGGUUCCGUUGGAAAAUAACCAAUGAAACCCAUGAUAGCAUUGCCCGGCUUAGAGCUGCGUGGGGUGGGACGGUGGGGGAGGGCCGCUUAAAUAAGUGAAGCUUAAAUAUAAAUCAACUAAGACAGGGGGUCCCGGGCCCAGAUCUAACCGCGUGUGCACACCCCCAGCGCGGGGGGCGAAAAGAAUUGACCGCAUCUCACCAAGUUGUGUCAAUUUAGCUCUGCCAAAGCCCGAGAGCCCACGGAGGGAGUCCCGCCGGCUUCGCCCGCCGCCCCCAGCGCC
This is a long non-coding RNA of Zosterops lateralis melanops, 2825 nucleotides long. The record is from Ensembl. NCBI's taxonomy places the organism in Eukaryota, Metazoa, Chordata, Aves, Passeriformes, Zosteropidae.